AGAGGGUGCGAGCGUUAAUCGGAAUUACUGGGCGUAAAGGGCGCGUAGGUGGUCUUUUAAGAUUGAUGUGAAAUCCCUGGGCUUAACCUAGGAACUGCAUCGAUGACUGAGAGGCUGGAGUACUGUAGAGGGUAGUGGAAUUUCCGGUGUAGCGGUGAAAUGCGUAGAGAUCGGAAGGAACACCAGUGGCGAAGGCGGCUACCUGGACAGAUACUGACACUGAGGCGCGAGAGCGUGGGGAGCAAACAGGAUUAGAUACCCUGGUAGUCCACGCUGUAAACGAUGAAGACUAGAUGUUGGUCAGCUUGACUGAUUAGUAUCGAAGCUAACGCGAUAAGUCUUCCGCCUGGGGAGUACGGCCGCAAGGUUA
Molecule: ribosomal RNA, 370 nt
Filed under: uncultured bacterium
Lineage: Bacteria
Description: bacterial SSU rRNA
Rfam family: Bacterial small subunit ribosomal RNA
Source: RNAcentral